Molecule: long non-coding RNA, 249 nt
Organism: Hydra vulgaris (swiftwater hydra)
Lineage: Eukaryota; Metazoa; Cnidaria; Hydrozoa; Anthoathecata; Hydridae
Source: RefSeq, a predicted model, not a curated record
ACACUUUUUUAACUAUUUAUUCUACUAUAUUCUAUAUUCACUAUUAUUUUAGAAUUAGCUAUUUUAAACAUGUGCCAAGUGGUAUGACAUUGUAUUGAUGUAUGUGAAAUGUAUAGAGUCUUUCAGUUAUCAGAUAAUGUCAAGGAGUUGACAGCAUGGUGUCCGAUUUAAAGUGCGAACCUGUGUACGAGUAACAACAGUAUUCAAAACCAAAACCUAUUUAAACCAACCAAACCAAAACUAGCGACC